Long non-coding RNA from Salarias fasciatus (jewelled blenny), 512 nucleotides. RefSeq lists it as uncharacterized. The transcript is spliced from 4 exons. The record is from RefSeq and is a predicted model, not a curated record. Lineage: Eukaryota; Metazoa; Chordata; Actinopteri; Blenniiformes; Blenniidae.
AGCACAUCCUCAGAGACAGAGCCACGUCAGGCCUCAUCAACAGGUGCAAGUCUGAAGACAGAGAGUCCAGUCAGCCCGCCGCUGAACAAAGGGCUGGAGAACCCUGAGAGUCGGCGUGAGACACAUCAGCAGCAGGGGACUGAAAACGCACCGGAACGUUGGUCUUGUUAGCGACCUUCAGGAUUAUGCAGAAAAUCCGAGGAUGCACGCAAGGGUGUGAAAUGGUCCUUCGUCUGUCAGGUCAGUCGUUUCAGCUCAAAAGUGUUUCUCCUCCUGUGUCACAGAGGAAAGGGGCCAGUGGAGGUGUAGGAACAUACAUAUGGUGUAACUUAGAGGAGAUAUGACCUACGAUCAAGACAUUUUUAAUAACCGCCACUCCGCUUUGGUCUUCCUGUGUUUGCACUGAGGACAAACCUGUCUGUGUUUUGCCUUCCUGUGGGGACGAUUGAUUCGGCCUCCAUUUUCCAUCAGCUGAGCCGCGCCUUCUUGGAAAAUUCGCAAAUGGGGUUAUA